Molecule: ribosomal RNA, 434 nt
Filed under: uncultured organism
Description: bacterial SSU rRNA
Rfam family: Bacterial small subunit ribosomal RNA
Source: RNAcentral
GUGCACCAGGCGCGAAUUUUUCACAAUGGGGGAAACCCUGAUGGAGCGACGCCGCGUGGAGGAUGAAGGCCUUUUGGUCGUAAACUCCUGUCAAACGGGAACAAGAAAGUGAUAGUACCGUUAGAGGAAGAGGCGGCUAACUCUGUGCCAGCAGCCGCGGUAAUACAGAGGCCUCAAGCGUUGUUCGGAUUCAUUGGGCGUAAAGGGUGCGUAGGUGGCUUGUUAAGUUGAAGGUGAAAUCUCGGGGCUCAACUCCGAAACUGCCUUCAAUACUGGCGAGCUCGAGGAUUGUAGAGGAGAAUGGAAUUCACGGUGUAGCAGUGAAAUGCGUAGAUAUCGUGAGGAAGACCAGUGGCGAAGGCGAUUCUCUGGGCAAUUCCUGACACUGAGGCACGAAGGCCAGGGGAGCAAACGGGAUUAGAUACCCGUGUAGU